UACGGGGGGGGUAAGCGUUGUUCGGAAUUACUGGGCGUAAAGGGCUCGUAGGCGGCCAACUAAGUCAUACGUGAAAUCCCUCAGCUUAACUGGGGAACUGCGUGUGAUACUGGAUGGCUUGGAUUUGGGAGAGGGAUGCGGAAUUCCAGGUGUAGCGGUGAAAUGCGUAGAUAUCUGGAGGAACACCGGUGGCGAAGGCGGUUCUCUGGGCCUGUACUGACGCUGAGGAGCGAAAGCGUGGGGAGCGAACAGG
This 253-nucleotide ribosomal RNA is filed under the name uncultured bacterium. RNAcentral describes it as "partial 16S ribosomal RNA". It matches the Rfam family "Bacterial small subunit ribosomal RNA", at positions 524 to 776 of the family's 1533-position model. The record is from RNAcentral.